Molecule: ribosomal RNA, 323 nt
Filed under: uncultured eukaryote
Lineage: Eukaryota
Description: partial 18S ribosomal RNA
Rfam family: Eukaryotic small subunit ribosomal RNA
Source: RNAcentral
CCCUUAGAUGUCCGGGGCUGCACGCGUGCUACACUGAUAUUGCCAAUAUGUCAUUCUUAUCCGAAAUGGAUUGGGUAAUCAAGUAAUGAAAUUUCAUGCUUGGAAUCGGUAAUUGCAAUUUUAUCGUGAACGAGGAAUUCCUAGUAAGCACUAGUCAUCAGCUAAUGUUGAUUAUGUCCCUGCCCUUUGUACACACCGCCCGUCGCUACUACUGAUUGGGUGUUCAAGUGAGAUGCUUAGACCCUUGUUGCAUGGUUCAUUAUUGUGCUCCGAAAGGAAAAAGUUUCAAGCUUGAGUGUCUAGAGGAAGUAAAAGUCGUAACA